RNAcentral lists this ribosomal RNA (460 nucleotides) under uncultured bacterium. RNAcentral's name for it is "partial 16S ribosomal RNA". It matches the Rfam family "Bacterial small subunit ribosomal RNA", at positions 338 to 795 of the family's 1533-position model. The record is from RNAcentral.
CCUACGGGCGGCAGCAGUGAGGAAUAUUGGUCAAUGGGCGAGAGCCUGAACCAGCCAAGUCGCGUGAAGGAUGACGGCCCUACGGGUUGUAAACUUCUUUUGUCAGGGAGCAAUUGGGUCCACGCGUGGGCUUAGCGAGAGUACCUGAAGAAAAAGCAUCGGCUAACUCCGUGCCAGCAGCCGCGGUAAUACGGAGGAUGCGAGCGUUAUCCGGAUUUAUUGGGUUUAAAGGGUGCGUAGGCGGAAUGUAAAGCCAGCGGUAAAAAUUCGGGGCUAAACCCCGUCGUGCCGUUGAAACUGAUGUUCUUGAGUGGGCGAGAGGUAUGCGGAAUGCGCGGUGUAGCGGUGAAAUGCAUAGAUAGCGCGCAGAACUCCGAUUGCGAAGGCAGCAUGCCGGCUCCACACUGACGCUGAGGCACGAAAGCGUGGGUAUCGAACAGGAUUAGAUACCCGAGUAGUC